GGAGAAGUGCCAGAGUGGUCGAAUGGGACUGACUCGAAAUCAGUUGUACGGGUAACCGUACCGGGGGUUCGAAUCCCUCCUUCUCCGCCA
This 90-nucleotide transfer RNA is filed under the name Opitutaceae bacterium. RNAcentral describes it as "tRNA-Ser". It matches the Rfam family "tRNA". Rfam says of the family: Transfer RNA (tRNA) molecules are approximately 80 nucleotides in length. Their secondary structure includes four short double-helical elements and three loops (D, anti-codon, and T loops). RNAcentral also lists the same sequence under 1 other name. The record is from RNAcentral. Lineage: Bacteria; Pseudomonadati; Verrucomicrobiota; Opitutia; Opitutales; Opitutaceae.